UACGGGGGGGGCAAGCGUUGUUCGGAAUUACUGGGCGUAAAGGGCCCGUAGGUGGCCAACUAAGUCAGACGUGAAAUCCCUCGGCUUAACCGGGGAACUGCGUCUGAUACUGGAUGGCUUGAGGUUGGGAGAGGGAUGCGGAAUUCCAGGUGUAGCGGUGAAAUGCGUAGAUAUCUGGAGGAACACCGGUGGCGAAGGCGGCAUCCUGGACCAAUUCUGACGCUGAGGAGCGAAAGCCAGGGGAGCAAACGGG
Molecule: ribosomal RNA, 253 nt
Filed under: uncultured bacterium
Lineage: Bacteria
Description: partial 16S ribosomal RNA
Rfam family: Bacterial small subunit ribosomal RNA
Source: RNAcentral